AGAGUUUGAUCAUGGCUCAGAUUGAACGCUGGCGGCAUGCCUUACACAUGCAAGUCGAACGGCAGCGCGGGAGCAAUCCUGGCGGCGAGUGGCGAACGGGCGAGUAAUAUAUCGGAACGUGCCCUGUAGCGGGGGAUAACCUAUCGAAAGAUGGACUAAUACCGCAUACGCUCUACGGAGGAAAGCGGGGGUCGCAAGACCUCGCACUAUAGGAGCGGCCGAUAUCGGAUUAGCUAGUUGGCGGGGUAAAAGCCCACCAAGGCGACGAUCCGUAGCUGGUCUGAGAGGAUGAUCAGCCACACUGGAACUGAGACACGGUCCAGACUCCUACGGGAGGCAGCAGUGGGGAAUUUUGGACAAUGGGCGCAAGCCUGAUCCAGCCAUGCCGCGUGAGUGAAGAAGGCCUUCGGGUUGUAAAGCUCUUUCGGCAGGAACGAAAUGGUUCGUGCUAAUACCACGGACUGAUGACGGUACCUGAAGAAGAAGCACCGGCUAACUACGUGCCAGCAGCCGCGGUAAUACGUAGGGUGCAGGCGUUAAUCGGAAUUACUGGGCGUAAAGCGUGCGCAGGCGGUUUCUUAAGUCAGAUGUGAAAGCCCCGGGCUUAACCUGGGGAACUGCGUUUGAAACUGGGAGACUUGAGUGUGGCAGAGGGGGGUGGAAUUCCACGUAGCAGUGAAAUGCGUAGAUAUGUGGAGGAACACCGAUGGCGAAGGCAGCCCCCUGGGUUAACACUGACGCUCAUGCACGAAAGCGUGGGGAGCAAACAGGAUUAGAUACCCUAGUAGUCC
RNAcentral lists this ribosomal RNA (791 nucleotides) under uncultured bacterium. RNAcentral's name for it is "bacterial SSU rRNA". It matches the Rfam family "Bacterial small subunit ribosomal RNA", at positions 8 to 796 of the family's 1533-position model. The record is from RNAcentral.